This 551-nucleotide ribosomal RNA is filed under the name uncultured bacterium. Its description in RNAcentral is "bacterial SSU rRNA". It matches the Rfam family "Bacterial small subunit ribosomal RNA", at positions 355 to 896 of the family's 1533-position model. The record is from RNAcentral.
UGGGGAAUAUUGCGCAAUGGGGGCAACCCUGACGCAGCCAUGCCGCGUGAAUGAAGAAGGCCUUCGGGUUGUAAAGUUCUUUCGGUAGCGAGGAAGGCACUUAGUUUAAUAAACUAGGUGAUUGACGUUAACUACAGAAGAAGCACCGGCUAACUCCGUGCCAGCAGCCGCGGUAAUACGGAGGGUGCGAGCGUUAAUCGGAAUAACUGGGCGUAAAGGGCACGCAGGCGGUGACUUAAGUGAGGUGUGAAAGCCCCGGGCUUAACCUGGGAAUUGCAUUUCAUACUGGGUCGCUAGAGUACUUUAGGGAGGGGUAGAAUUCCACGUGUAGCGGUGAAAUGCGUAGAGAUGUGGAGGAAUACCGAAGGCGAAGGCAACCNNUUCCUUGGGAAUGUACUGACGUUCAUGUGCGAAAGCGUGGGGAGCAAACAGGAUUAGAUACCCUGGUAGUCCACGCUGUAAACGAUGUCGAUUUGGGGGUUGAACUUUAAGUUUGGCGCCCGUAGCUAACGUGAUAAAUCGACCGCCUGGGGAGUACGGCCGCAAGGUUA